Molecule: ribosomal RNA, 296 nt
Filed under: uncultured bacterium
Lineage: Bacteria
Description: partial 16S ribosomal RNA
Rfam family: Bacterial small subunit ribosomal RNA
Source: RNAcentral
UGUACCCUACGGGGGGCAGCAGUGGGGAAUAUUGCACAAUGGGGGAAACCCUGAUGCAGCGACGCCGCGUGAAGGACGAAGUAUUUCGGUACGUAAACUUCUAUCAGCAGGGAAGAAAAUGACGGUACCUGACCAAGAAGCCCCGGCUAACUACGUGCCAGCAGCCGCGGUAAUACGUAGGUGGCAAGCGUUGUUCGGAAUAACUGGGCGUAAAGGAUGCGUAGGCGGUUAAACAAGUUAUAUGUUAAAUAUAUAGGCUUAACCUGUAGAAAGCAUAUAAAACUGUUUAACUAGAG